AUUGAACGCUGGCGGCAUGCUUUACACAUGCAAGUCGAACGGCAGCACAGGGAGCUUGCUCCCGGGUGGCGAGUGGCGCACGGGUGAGUAAUACAUCGGAACGUGUCCUGUUGUGGGGGAUAACUGCUCGAAAGGGUGGCUAAUACCGCAUGAGACCUGAGGGUGAAAGCGGGGGAUCGCAAGACCUCGCGCAAUUGGAGCGGCCGAUGCCCGAUUAGCUAGUUGGUGAGGUAAAGGGCUCACCAAGGCGACGAUCGGUAGCUGGUCUGAGAGGACGACCAGCCACACUGGGACUGAGACACGGCCCAGACUCCUACGGAGGCAGCAGUGGGGAAUUUUGGCACAAUGGGGGAAACCCUGAUGCAGCGACGCCGCGUGGAGGAAGAAGGUCUUCGGAUUGUAAACUCCUAGUUGUUGAGGAAGGAUAAUGACGGUACUCAACAAGGAAGUG
RNAcentral lists this ribosomal RNA (451 nucleotides) under uncultured bacterium. Its description in RNAcentral is "bacterial SSU rRNA". It matches the Rfam family "Bacterial small subunit ribosomal RNA", at positions 29 to 492 of the family's 1533-position model. The record is from RNAcentral.